Molecule: transfer RNA, 72 nt
Filed under: Nannizzia gypsea CBS 118893
Lineage: Eukaryota; Fungi; Ascomycota; Eurotiomycetes; Onygenales; Arthrodermataceae
Also listed under: 16 other names
Description: tRNA-Arg (TCT) (tRNA-Arg-TCT-2-1)
Rfam family: tRNA
About the family: Transfer RNA (tRNA) molecules are approximately 80 nucleotides in length. Their secondary structure includes four short double-helical elements and three loops (D, anti-codon, and T loops).
Source: RNAcentral
GCCCUCGUGGCGUAAUGGUUAACGUUUCAGACUUCUAAUCUGACUAUCCCGGUUCGAGUCCGGGCGGGGGUG